Molecule: long non-coding RNA, 512 nt
Organism: Scleropages formosus (Asian bonytongue)
Lineage: Eukaryota; Metazoa; Chordata; Actinopteri; Osteoglossiformes; Osteoglossidae
Exons: 4
Source: RefSeq, a predicted model, not a curated record
GGGUCUCGAGCACAAGGUCACGGCGCCGCCAUCUUUGUUUGAAUUGUUUUCCGCGCCCCGGAUAUGACGUGCAGGUAGCGUCCUGAAAACGGGAAUCUUGCCGGUUCUGUCCACAGCAGGACUCAUAUCUGCAGAAGUGUGUUUCAGGUGAGGGCAGUGGGCAGGAAGAGGCUGAAGAGUUUUGAGAGGUGUGGCGUGAGAUCAGACUUGGGGAGUUGGGUUGAGGACCGUCUCUCGUGCUAGGGGCUGUAUUAACAGCAUGUAUUAACCCAGGAGUAGAGGAGAAGCACCUAAGCUAGCAGGAGACAGGAGACAUACAAGAUCAUCAUGGCAGAACCAGGAGGUGAACAAUCUUCAGGAGCACCUCAUGGCCUCCUGCCUAAGUCGGACUGUUCUGGGAAUGCAAUGACCCCCCACUCAGAGGUUUCAGCAGUCAUGGACAUGUGCAUAAAAACUGAGCCUGUUGAGCAGGACAUUUCUCACCGUGAAUAUUGUACUGAGAUAAAGAGCUU